UCAAAAUCUGCAGAAUGCAGUGGAAAAGAAUACCCAGAGACAAGGCACGGGUGGUGGGUCACCAAAAGCUGACCUCACCCCAGCAGAGGCCAGCUUUGGAGCUAAAUAAAGGCAGGCCUGUUGGAGGGGAUCCCUGGGGGAAAAGAGACAAGCAUAGGUCCCUCACAAGAUGCCACCCGCUUCAUACAAGUGUCUGGCAGCACUGUGUUACUGUUAAAGCCACCAGCACGAGCACCUGACGAUGCUGAUCCAGUGAGUACUCCAUCAAAGGCAUACUGUAGGCCUGGCAUGUCUUGUCUACUAGCUUCAAUAUGAAUCCGAUUAAAUGUGAUGGGGUCAAGGCCCCAUUUCAUCAGCACAUAACGGCGAUGAUGAUGAGGAGACCAUCUCGCUGGAUUCCAAAAGGCAUAAGGACCCAGAGUCAUUGGUGCACUGGACUGCACAAACAUAAGGAUAAAAUCCCCCUCAGGUGCCCAUGAGGCAGA
This is a non-coding RNA of Paramisgurnus dabryanus, 485 nucleotides long. Lineage: Eukaryota; Metazoa; Chordata; Actinopteri; Cypriniformes; Cobitidae. The record is from RefSeq and is a predicted model, not a curated record.